CCUACGGGUGGCUGCAGUGGGGAAUAUUGGACAAUGGGCGAAAGCCUGAUCCAGCCAUGCCGCGUGUGUGAAGAAGGCCUUCGGGUUGUAAAGCACUUUCAGUGGGGAAGAAAGCCUUGGGGCUAAUACCCUCGAGGAAGGACAUCACCCACAGAAGAAGCACCGGCUAACUCCGUGCCAGUAGCCGCGGUAAUACGGAGGGUGCGAGCGUUAAUCGGAAUUACUGGGCGUAAAGCGCGCGUAGGCGGUCUGAUAAGCCGGUUGUGAAAGCCCCGGACUCAACCUGGGAACGGCAUCCGGAACUGUCAGGCUAGAGUGCAGGAGAGGAAGGUAGAAUUCCCGGUGUAGCGGUGAAAUGCGUAGAGAUCGGGAGGAAUACCAGUGGCGAAGGCGGCCUUCUGGACUGACACUGACGCUGAGGUGCGAAAGCGUGGGUAGCAAACAGGAUUAGAUACCCCAGUAGUC
RNAcentral lists this ribosomal RNA (465 nucleotides) under Vreelandella stevensii. Its description in RNAcentral is "partial 16S ribosomal RNA". It matches the Rfam family "Bacterial small subunit ribosomal RNA", at positions 338 to 795 of the family's 1533-position model. Lineage: Bacteria; Pseudomonadati; Pseudomonadota; Gammaproteobacteria; Oceanospirillales; Halomonadaceae. The record is from RNAcentral.